UACGGAGGGGGCGAGCGUUAUUCGGAUUUACUGGGCGUAAAGGGUGCGUAGGCGGUUGUGCAAGUCUGGUGUGAAACCUUCACCGCUCAACGGGAAGAGGUCACUGGAAACUGCGCAACUCGAGUGUGGUAGAGGCAAGCGGAAUUCCUGGUGUAGCGGUGGAAUGUGUAGAUAUCAGGAAGGACACCCGUGGCGAAGGCGGCUUGCUGGGCCGUCACUGACGCUGAGGCACGAAAGCGUGGGGAGCAAACGGG
RNAcentral lists this unclassified non-coding RNA (254 nucleotides) under uncultured bacterium. RNAcentral describes it as "contains 16S-23S intergenic spacer region". It matches the Rfam family "Bacterial small subunit ribosomal RNA", at positions 524 to 776 of the family's 1533-position model. The record is from RNAcentral.